GCGCCCGUAGCUCAAUGGUAGAGCUGUAGCC
This 31-nucleotide transfer RNA is filed under the name Chlamydia psittaci. RNAcentral's name for it is "partial tRNA-Gly". The record is from RNAcentral. Lineage: Bacteria; Pseudomonadati; Chlamydiota; Chlamydiia; Chlamydiales; Chlamydiaceae. RNAcentral also lists the same sequence under 2 other names.